CAGUCGCCACGGUAAUACGUAGGUGGCAAGCGUUAUCCGGAAUUAUUGGGCGUAAAGCGCGCGUAGGCGGUUUUUUAAGUCUGAUGUGAAAGCCCACGGCUCAACCGUGGAGGGUCAUUGGAAACUGGAAAACUUGAGUGCAGAAGAGGAAAGUGGAAUUCCAUGUGUAGCGGUGAAAUGCGCAGAGAUAUGGAGGAACACCAGUGGCGAAGGCGACUUUCUGGUCUGUAACUGACGCUGAUGUGCGAAAGCGUGGGGAUCAAACAGGAUUAGAUACCCGCGUAGUCCCUGUCUCUUAUAC
This 301-nucleotide ribosomal RNA is filed under the name uncultured bacterium. RNAcentral describes it as "partial 16S ribosomal RNA". It matches the Rfam family "Bacterial small subunit ribosomal RNA", at positions 509 to 807 of the family's 1533-position model. The record is from RNAcentral.